UACGGGGGGAGCAAGCGUUGUUCGGAUUUACUGGGCGUAAAGGGCGCGUAGGCGGCCAGUGCAAGUCAGUUGUGAAAUCUCCGAGCUUAACUCGGAAAGGUCAACUGAUACUGCUCGGCUAGAGUGCGGAAGGGGCAACUGGAAUUCCUGGUGUAGCGGUGAAAUGCGCAGAUAUCAGGAGGAACACCGGUGGCGAAGGCGGAUCUCUGGGCCUUACCUGACGCUGAGGCGCGAAAGCUAGGGGAGCGAACAGG
RNAcentral lists this ribosomal RNA (254 nucleotides) under uncultured bacterium. RNAcentral's name for it is "partial 16S ribosomal RNA". It matches the Rfam family "Bacterial small subunit ribosomal RNA", at positions 524 to 776 of the family's 1533-position model. The record is from RNAcentral.